Molecule: transfer RNA, 85 nt
Filed under: Candidatus Omnitrophica bacterium CG02_land_8_20_14_3_00__42_8
Lineage: Bacteria; Pseudomonadati; Candidatus Omnitrophota
Description: tRNA-Leu
Rfam family: tRNA
About the family: Transfer RNA (tRNA) molecules are approximately 80 nucleotides in length.
Source: RNAcentral
GGGCGGAUGGCGGAAUUGGCAAACGCGUACGGCUUAGGACCGUAUGGAGUAAUCCUUGGAGGUUCAACUCCUCUUCCGCCCACCA